This 325-nucleotide long non-coding RNA is filed under the name Ananas comosus (pineapple). RNAcentral describes it as "long non-coding RNA (ACOM_LNC044700)". The record is from RNAcentral. Lineage: Eukaryota; Viridiplantae; Streptophyta; Magnoliopsida; Poales; Bromeliaceae.
UUUCAAAAACAAAAUCUAGAAUUAAAAAUUAAUUUCAAAUUUUAAAAAUAUAUUUAAAUAAAAUUUUAAUUUAAUUUAAAUAAAAAAAAUAUAAUUGAGAUAUUUUCAUAAAGUGUAUUCUUUUCGCCUGAAUUUAACUUCCAAUUGGGCCCUAAACCGGAUUGAAAAAUAGAAUAAUUAAAAGUUUUUCAUUUAUCCGGAAAUCGGAAUCUGAAUGGAACUCCCUUAUAUCAAACACCAAUAAAUGGAUUUGUCCAAUCCGAUUUUAAUUCCUGAAUGAAAACGGAGUGAACCAAACACGACCUAAGAGUCUAAUUCAAUUAAA